Molecule: ribosomal RNA, 898 nt
Filed under: uncultured bacterium
Lineage: Bacteria
Description: bacterial SSU rRNA
Rfam family: Bacterial small subunit ribosomal RNA
Source: RNAcentral
UCAGGAUGAACGCUGGCGGCGUGCCUAAUACAUGCAAGUCGAACGAAUCUCUUUUAGAGAUGAGUGGCGAACGGGUGAGUAAUACAUAGGUAACCUGCCCCUGUGCGGGGGAUAACAGGAGGAAACUCCUGCUAAUACCGCAUAGCCAUGAGCACCGCAUGGAGCUCAUGCCAAAUAUCCUUUCGGGGAUAGCGCAGGGAUGGACCUAUGGCGCAUUAGCUGGUUGGCGGGGCAACGGCCCACCAAGGCAACGAUGCGUAGCCGGCCUGAGAGGGCGGACGGCCACAUUGGGACUGAGACACGGCCCAGACUCCUACGGGAGGCAGCAGUAGGGAAUUUUCGGCAAUGGGGGAAACCCUGACCGAGCAACGCCGCGUGAGCGAAGAAGGCCUUCGGGUCGUAAAGCUCUGUUGUAAAGGAAGAACGGCGCAUACAGGAAAUGGUAUGCGAGUGACGGUACUUUACCAGAAAGCCACGGCUAACUACGUGCCAGCAGCCGCGGUAAUACGUAGGUGGCGAGCGUUAUCCGGAAUCAUUGGGCGUAAAGAGGGAGCAGGCGGCCGCAAGGGUCUGUGGUGAAAGACCGAAGCUAAACUUCGGUAAGCCAUGGAAACCGGGCGGCUAGAGUGCGGAAGAGGAUCGUGGAAUUCCAUGUGUAGCGGUGAAAUGCGUAGAUAUAUGGAGGAACACCAGUGGCGAAGGCGACGGUCUGGGCCGCAACUGACGCUCAUUCCCGAAAGCGUGGGGAGCAAAUAGGAUUAGAUACCCUAGUAGUCCACGCCGUAAACGAUGGUCACUAAGUGUCGGGGGUCAAACCCCGGUGCUGCAGUCAACGCAAUAAGUGACCCGCCUGAGUAGUACGUUCGCAAGAAUGAAACUCAAAGGAAUUGACGGAAGG